RNAcentral lists this small RNA (125 nucleotides) under Dickeya zeae. RNAcentral's name for it is "RtT sRNA". It matches the Rfam family "RtT RNA". From Rfam's summary of the family: This family represents a bacterial cis-regulatory element known as RtT RNA. Lineage: Bacteria; Pseudomonadati; Pseudomonadota; Gammaproteobacteria; Enterobacterales; Pectobacteriaceae. The record is from RNAcentral.
GAUAUAACACUGUCGUGCAGGUGAGAAGCUGCGUUCAGGUUCGAGUCGAGCGAAGCGAGACAACAGCGCAUAGCGCUGGCCCGAAGGGCGAGGCCGCAGGCCGAGUCAUCCUGCACGACCCACCA